This 253-nucleotide ribosomal RNA is filed under the name uncultured bacterium. RNAcentral describes it as "partial 16S ribosomal RNA". It matches the Rfam family "Bacterial small subunit ribosomal RNA", at positions 524 to 776 of the family's 1533-position model. The record is from RNAcentral.
GACAGAGGAUGCAAGCGUUAUCCGGAAUUAUUGGGCGUAAAGCGCGUGUAGGCGGUGGUUCAAGUCGGGUGUGAAAGCCCUCAGCUCAACUGAGGAAGUGCGCCCGAAACUGAAUCGCUAGAGUGUCGGAGGGGAAGGCGGAAUUCCCGGUGUAGAGGUGAAAUUCGUAGAUAUCUGGAGGAACACCGGUGGCGAAGGCGGCAUCCUGGACCGACACUGACGCUGAGGAGCGAAAGCCAGGGGAGCAAACGGG